RNAcentral lists this transfer RNA (64 nucleotides) under Cavia porcellus (domestic guinea pig). It matches the Rfam family "tRNA", at positions 1 to 62 of the family's 71-position model. Rfam says of the family: Transfer RNA (tRNA) molecules are approximately 80 nucleotides in length. Their secondary structure includes four short double-helical elements and three loops (D, anti-codon, and T loops). Lineage: Eukaryota; Metazoa; Chordata; Mammalia; Rodentia; Caviidae. The record is from Rfam by way of RNAcentral.
GGGGAUUUAGCUCAGUGGCAUAAGUGCCUGCCUUGCAAGCAGGCAGUUGUGCGUUCGAUCCCCA